This 512-nucleotide ribosomal RNA is filed under the name uncultured Scutellospora. Its description in RNAcentral is "SSU rRNA". It matches the Rfam family "Eukaryotic small subunit ribosomal RNA", at positions 569 to 1084 of the family's 1831-position model. Lineage: Eukaryota; Fungi; Glomeromycota; Glomeromycetes; Diversisporales; Gigasporaceae. The record is from RNAcentral.
AGCAGCCGCGGUAAUUCCAGCUCCAAUAGCGUAUAUUAAAGUUGUUGCAGUUAAAAAGCUCGUAGUUGAAUUUCGGGGUUCUACCGUUGGUCGGGCUAACCAGUCUGUACUAGCGUGUAAAAUUCCUACCUUCUGGAAAACCAUCAUGUUAUUAAUUUAGCGUGGUGGGAAACCAGGACCUUUACCUUGAAAAAAUUAGAGUGUUCAAAGCAGGCUUACGUCUGAAUACAUUAGCAUGGAAUAAUAGAAUAGGACGGUGGUCCUGUUUUGUUGGUUUCUGAAUCACCGUAAUGAUUAAUAGGGAUAGUUGGGGGCAUUAGUAUUCAAUUGUCAGAGGUGAAAUUCUUGGAUUUAUUGAAGACUAACUUCUGCGAAAGCAUUUGCCAAGGAUGUUUUCAUUAAUCAAGAACGAAAGUUAGGGGAUCGAAGACGAUCAGAUACCGUCGUAGUCUUAACCAUAAACUAUGCCGACUAGGGAUCGGACGAUGUUAAAUUUUAUUGACUCGUUCGGC